GUGAGCUGGGUGGGCUAGUAUUGCCAGGUAGUUGAUACUCAUCCACUUCACUCCCAUGAGCAGCCCUCAUCAGUGACUAACUGAUGGGAAAUGAUGGAAAACUCCCAGCUUACUGGCCUCUCGGAUGGGAUAAACUCAAGUUGACUACAAGAUACAGAGUGGGUGCAGCUCUGCUCCAGGCGUUUCUCGUUCUCUGGCUAUCCAGUGCACAUUCUUUUCAUGGUAUUUUACAGACAUCAUAUUCUUCCGAGUGUUCCCUGGGCCCAAAUUUGCAACCUAAUCACUUGCUGACGACCUUUACUCAAACAGAACAACUCCUUAACUUUGAGAUUUUUCUAUCAGAUCUUCCUGUCUAGGUGGAUAUCCAGUUGUUCCUGCACCCAUUUGUUGAAGAGACUGUCCUUUCUCCAUUGGAGUCCCCUUGCUCCUUUGUCAAAGAUCAGUUGGCUGUAUUUAUGUGGAUAUAUUUUUGGGCUCGGUACCCUGUUGUACUGAUCCAUUUGUCUAUUCUUUCACAAUACCACAUUGUUUUGAUUACUGUAAAUAAUAUACUAAGCCUUAAAGUUAUUAAGUCUUAAGGUUUAUAAGCAAGUCUUAAAGUUAAGUAGUCUCUGUCCCCUGACGUUGUUCUCUUUCUUCAGUGCCAGUUGUGCUGGCUAUUCUGCAUCUUUGCCUUUCCAUGUAAACUUCAGAAUCAGUUUCUGGAUACCCACAUCCAUUGAGAUUUCAAUUCUAAUGAUUUCAUAUGUAAUCAGAGAUGGAGGUAUUUAGAAGUCUUAUUUGGGUUUUUUUUUUGGUGUGUAUAUGUGUAUCUUUUAAAAUCUUCCUUAUUUAUUUAUAGUCUUAUAUUCUUUGUGUAUUCUAUUUAUUUAAAUAUUUUAAAUGUCAUUAUUCUAUAUUAUGCAUCAGAUAAUUCAAAUAUAUAACAUCCUAGAGUGUCGAAUUAUGUUGCUUAUUGUUUCCAUUGACUCUCAUGCAUGGCAGCUUCUUUUUUCACGUGUUUUGUUAUUGUGGAUCAUGAACUCAUACUCAUCAGGUUUUAAAUGUGGGAAAAUAUCAGACCUUGACUGGGCGUGUGUCCCUUUAGGAGAUUUUUUUUUUUUUUUAGUCUGAAAGGACUGAGCACAUAGGAAUAUUACCAACCUGGAUCAUAUAAAGUUAAUUUUUGAAGUUUAUUUUGAGGUCUCUCCAUGUGAUUUUUCUGGACCACAGAGGUAAUAUGUGUUCAAGUUUUUAACCCAUAUGACAGAAGGCCUAUGGUUCUGAAUCCUCAGAGAACUUUUUCAUCAUUCAAAUUUCAGCCCAAGAGGACUAGUUU
Molecule: long non-coding RNA, 1318 nt
Organism: Equus asinus (donkey)
Lineage: Eukaryota; Metazoa; Chordata; Mammalia; Perissodactyla; Equidae
Source: Ensembl